This 425-nucleotide ribosomal RNA is filed under the name uncultured bacterium. RNAcentral describes it as "bacterial SSU rRNA". It matches the Rfam family "Bacterial small subunit ribosomal RNA", at positions 356 to 773 of the family's 1533-position model. The record is from RNAcentral.
GGGGAAUAUUGCACAAUGGGCGCAAGCCUGAUGCAGCCAUGCCGCGUGUAUGAAGAAGGCCUUCGGGUUGUAAAGUACUUUCAGCGAGGAGGAAGGCAUUGUGGUUAAUAACCGCAGUGAUUGACGUUACUCGCAGAAGAAGCACCGGCUAACUCCGUGCCAGCAGCCGCGGUAAUACGGAGGGUGCAAGCGUUAAUCGGAAUUACUGGGCGUAAAGCGCACGCAGGCGGUCUGUCAAGUCGGAUGUGAAAUCCCCGGGCUCAACCUGGGAACUGCAUCCGAAACUGGCAGGCUAGAGUCUUGUAGAGGGGGGUAGAAUUCCAGGUGUAGCGGUGAAAUGCGUAGAGAUCUGGAGGAAUACCGGUGGCGAAGGCGCCUUUCUGGACUGUAACUGACACUGAGGCUCGAAAGCGUGGGGAGCAAAC